RNAcentral lists this ribosomal RNA (232 nucleotides) under uncultured bacterium. RNAcentral's name for it is "partial 16S ribosomal RNA". It matches the Rfam family "Bacterial small subunit ribosomal RNA", at positions 15 to 236 of the family's 1533-position model. The record is from RNAcentral.
GAUCCUGGCUCAGGAUGAACGCUAGCUACAGGCUUAACACAUGCAAGUCGAGGGGCAGCAUAGUGUUCUAGCAAUAGAAUACGGGCGUCGACCGGCGCACGGGUGAGUAACGCGUAUCCAACCUGCCUACCACUUGGGGAUAACCUUGCGAAAGUAAGACUAAUACCCAAUGACAUCCCACGAAGACAUCUGAAUGGGAUUAAAGAUUUAUCGGUGAUGGAUGGGGAUGCGU